CCUGUAAGACUGGGAUAACUCCGGGAAACCGGAGCUAAUACCGGAUAGUUCCUUGAACCGCAUGGUUCAAGGAUGAAAGACGGUUUCGGCUGUCACUUACAGAUGGACCCGCGGCGCAUUAGCUAGUUGGUGAGGUAACGGCUCACCAAGGCGACGAUGCGUAGCCGACCUGAGAGGGUGAUCGGCCACACUGGGACUGAGACACGGCCCAGACUCCUACGGGAGGCAGCAGUAGGGAAUCUUCCGCAAUGGACGAAAGUCUGACGGAGCAACGCCGCGUGAGUGAUGAAGGUUUUCGGAUCGUAAAGCUCUGUUGUUAGGGAAGAACAAGUGCAAGAGUAACUGCUUGCACCUUGACGGUACCUAACCAGAAAGCCACGGCUAACUACGUGCCAGCAGCCGCGGUAAUACGUAGGUGGCAAGCGUUGUCCGGAAUUAUUGGGCGUAAAGGGCUCGCAGGCGGUUUCUUAAGUCUGAUGUGAAAGCCCCCGGCUCAACCGGGGAGGGUCAUUGGAAACUGGGAAACUUGAGUGCAGAAGAGGAGAGUGGAAUUCCACGUGUAGCGGUGAAAUGCGUAGAGAUGUGGAGGAACACCAGUGGCGAAGGCGACUCUCUGGUCUGUAACUGACGCUGAGGAGCGAAAGCGUGGGGAGCGAACAGGAUUAGAUACCCUGGUAGUCCACGCCGUAAACGA
Molecule: ribosomal RNA, 694 nt
Filed under: Bacillus sp. U1125
Lineage: Bacteria; Bacillati; Bacillota; Bacilli; Caryophanales; Bacillaceae
Description: bacterial SSU rRNA
Rfam family: Bacterial small subunit ribosomal RNA
Source: RNAcentral